AUCUUAGUAGCUUAAACUCCUAAAUAAAGCAUUAGACUUGUAAACUAAAGACGGGCCGCCCCUAAGAUC
This 69-nucleotide transfer RNA is filed under the name Calotes emma. RNAcentral describes it as "tRNA-Thr". The record is from RNAcentral. Lineage: Eukaryota; Metazoa; Chordata; Lepidosauria; Squamata; Agamidae.